CCUACGGGGUGCUGCAGUGAGGAAUAUUGGUCAAUGGCCGGAAGGCUGAACCAGCCAUGCCGCGUGAAGGUCAGUGCCCUAUGGGCGUUAAACUUCUUUUGUGCGGGAGCAAUAAUGGUCACGUGUGGCCAGACGAGAGUACCGUACGAAUAAGCAUCGGCUAACUCCGUGCCAGCAGCCGCGGUAAUACGGGGGAUUCAAGCGUUAUCCGGAUUUAUUGGGUUUAAAGGGUGCGUAGGCUGUGAGGUAAGUCAGCGGGGAAAUGCCCGCGCUCAACGGGGUGAAGUGCCAUUGAUACUGCCUUGCUGGAAUGCGGAUGCCGUGGGAGGAAUGUGUGGUGUAGCGGUGAAAUGCAUAGAUAUCACACAGAACACCGAUUGCGAAGGCAUCUCACGAAUCCGCGAUUGACGCUGAUGCACGAAAGCGUGGGUAUCAAACAGGAUUAGAUACCCGAGUAGUC
RNAcentral lists this ribosomal RNA (460 nucleotides) under uncultured bacterium. RNAcentral's name for it is "partial 16S ribosomal RNA". It matches the Rfam family "Bacterial small subunit ribosomal RNA", at positions 338 to 795 of the family's 1533-position model. The record is from RNAcentral.